Molecule: long non-coding RNA, 437 nt
Organism: Solanum tuberosum (potato)
Lineage: Eukaryota; Viridiplantae; Streptophyta; Magnoliopsida; Solanales; Solanaceae
Exons: 2
Source: RefSeq, a predicted model, not a curated record
UUGUGUGAAAAAAGAAAGGAAUAAAGAAAAAAUGGAGAGGAAAAUUUCUGGUCUUUUGUUUCUCCUUGUCAUUUUGUUCACUUCACAAAUGUUGAUCCGAGGGGCGGAGGGAAGAGUGUGCAUCUCGCAAAGCCAUAGGUACAAGGGUCCAUGCCUGCGUGACCACAACUGCGCUCUCGUCUGCCGUAACGAAUAUUUCUCCGGUGGAGACUGCAUUGGAUUUGGCUUUCAUAGAAAAUGCUAUUGCACUAAGUUUUGUUAAUUAAUUAUAAUUAAUUAGUGUCAUGAAAAUGACACUUAAUUAGUUCAUUAAUCCAUCACUAAGCUAGUUUUGUUUUAGGGAAUAAAAUGUAGUAGUGGUUUUAUAAAGGGCAUCACACCCCUUAGUUGUCUCUUUUCACGGAAUCUACGUGAACAUGAAAUGUUUUGUGCGUCGA